UAAGACAGAGGGUGCAAACGUUGUUCGGAAUUACUGGGCGUAAAGCGAGUGUAGGCGGUCUGUAAAGUCAGGUGUGAAAGCCCCGGGCUCAACCCGGGAAGUGCACUUGAAACUCACAGGCUAGAGUAUCGGAGAGGUUGGUGGAAUUCUCGGUGUAGAGGUGAAAUUCGUAGAUAUCGAGAGGAACACCGGUGGCGAAGGCGGCCAACUGGACGAAUACUGACGCUGAGACUCGAAAGCGUGGGGAGCAAACAGGAUUAGAUACCCUGGUAGUCCACGCCGUAAACGAUGGGUGCUAGGUGUCGCGGGCUUUGACUCCCGCGGUGCCGUAGCUAACGCAUUAAGCACCCCGCCUGGGAAGUACGGCCGCAAGGCUAAAACUCAAAUGAAUUGACGG
RNAcentral lists this ribosomal RNA (397 nucleotides) under uncultured bacterium. RNAcentral's name for it is "bacterial SSU rRNA". It matches the Rfam family "Bacterial small subunit ribosomal RNA", at positions 521 to 916 of the family's 1533-position model. The record is from RNAcentral.